Molecule: transfer RNA, 360 nt
Filed under: uncultured Microcystis sp.
Lineage: Bacteria; Bacillati; Cyanobacteriota; Cyanophyceae; Chroococcales; Microcystaceae
Description: partial 16S-23S ribosomal RNA intergenic spacer
Rfam family: tRNA (bases 134-207)
Source: RNAcentral
AAAGGGAGACCUAAUUCGGGUAUAAGACGAAAAAAAAGUAGUCCCUACCAAGAAUCAAUCCCAAAAGGUCGGAACGAGGUAUGAGGCUUUCAAACUAGGUUCUGGGUUCAUAAAAGACCUGAAUCAGGAACAAGGGCUAUUAGCUCAGGUGGUUAGAGCGCACCCCUGAUAAGGGUGAGGUCCCUGGUUCGAGUCCAGGAUGGCCCACCUGCACAGGUGGCAAAAACAAAAGAAGCGAGGAAUCAGCACCUUAUCUUAUAUACAUAUAUAAGAGAGAAUGCUGGCUCUGAGUACAGAGUCCAGAGGAACCUUGAAAACUGCAUAGAGCUAGGUGAAAAAGCCAAAAAAGAAGACCGCAAG